GAUUGAACACCGGCGGCAUGCUUUACACAUGCAAGUCGAGCGGCAGCGCGGGGGCAACCCUGGCGGCGAGCGGCGAACGGGUGAGGAAUACAUCGGAACGUGUCCCGUAGUGGGGGAUAGGCUCGGCGAAAGCCGGAUUAAUACCGCAGUAUGCUCUACGGAGGAAAGCCGGGGAUCUGUUACAGGACCUGGCGCUAGUGGGAGCGGCCGAUGUCCGAUUAGCUAGUUGGUGAGGU
RNAcentral lists this ribosomal RNA (236 nucleotides) under uncultured bacterium. RNAcentral describes it as "partial 16S ribosomal RNA". It matches the Rfam family "Bacterial small subunit ribosomal RNA", at positions 27 to 258 of the family's 1533-position model. The record is from RNAcentral.